Piliocolobus tephrosceles (Ugandan red Colobus) is the source of this 380-nucleotide long non-coding RNA. RefSeq lists it as uncharacterized. The record is from RefSeq and is a predicted model, not a curated record. NCBI's taxonomy places the organism in Eukaryota, Metazoa, Chordata, Mammalia, Primates, Cercopithecidae. The transcript is spliced from 3 exons.
GGUGGAGGAGGCCACACAGGAGAAGCCUGCAGAGGAGGCCACAGAGAAACCGGCCGCCGAGGAGGCCACGGCCCCUGAGGAAGUCACUAAAUCUCAGCCUGAAAAGUGGGAUGAAGAGGCCCAAGAUGCUGCAGGCGAGGAAGAGAAAGAACAAGAAAAAGAGAAGGAUGCGGAAAACAAGGCGAAAAACUCCAAGGGGACCUAGAUGCAGCAGAGGCGAAGCCGAGAAAAUCCAGAUGCCUGUGGGAAUUUUAACACACAUGGUUGCAAAGUUGGUUACAUCAAAAGUGAUAUCCAGUGACAUCUAACUUUCAUGCAUGUAUUUGACAGUGUUCGUUCAAGUUAAAAAUAAAAGUUUGUUUUAAAUGAGUAAACUGAAA